UUAAUUGAAGAGUUUGAUCAUGGCUCAGAUUGAACGCUGGCGGCAGGCCUAACACAUGCAAGUCGAGCGGCAGCACAGAGGAACUUGUUCCUUGGGUGGCGAGCGGCGGACGGGUGAGUAAUGCCUGGGAAAUUGCCCGGUAGAGGGGGAU
RNAcentral lists this ribosomal RNA (151 nucleotides) under Vibrio cholerae. Its description in RNAcentral is "partial 16S ribosomal RNA". It matches the Rfam family "Bacterial small subunit ribosomal RNA", at positions 1 to 144 of the family's 1533-position model. The record is from RNAcentral. Lineage: Bacteria; Pseudomonadati; Pseudomonadota; Gammaproteobacteria; Vibrionales; Vibrionaceae.